RNAcentral lists this ribosomal RNA (124 nucleotides) under Callithrix jacchus (white-tufted-ear marmoset). The record is from RNAcentral. Lineage: Eukaryota; Metazoa; Chordata; Mammalia; Primates; Cebidae.
AUCUAUGGCCAUACCACCCUGAACGCGCCCAAUCUCAUCUGAUCUCGGAAGCUAAACAGGGUCGGAUCUGGUUAGUACUUGGAUGGGAGAACUGUCUGUUCAUGAACUCUGCCUACUUUUGGAA